GCAACAGGAGAAUUUGACUUCUGAUUUUGUGAGAGAAAAUGUCUGUGUCAUCAUGUAGCAUUUGCUUUAAAAGAGCAAAUUCUAAGGUAUCAUUGGGUGUUCCAUAAUUUUCUUUAAUUGUUAAGUGCGAUCGCGGAAGUAACUGAGAUGCUUGGUUUAAUGUCUACUGAAGACCAUGUUGGAUGGAUGGCCUACUGUACAUAAAAGAAGAGCUUUUUCAGCCUUGUAAUGGAUGGCAACUCGAGGAGUCUCUUGAAGUU
RNAcentral lists this unclassified non-coding RNA (260 nucleotides) under Hevea brasiliensis (rubber tree). The record is from RNAcentral. Lineage: Eukaryota; Viridiplantae; Streptophyta; Magnoliopsida; Malpighiales; Euphorbiaceae.